GACGAACGCUGGCGGCGUGCCUAAUACAUGCAAGUUGAGCGCUGAAGGUUGGUACUUGUACCGACUGGAUGAGCAGCGAACGGGUGAGUAACGCGUGGGGAAUCUGCCUUUGAGCGGGGGACAACAUUUGGAAACGAAUGCUAAUACCGCAUAAAAACUUUAAACACAAGUUUUAAGUUUGAAAGAUGCAAUUGCAUCACUCAAAGAUGAUCCCGCGUUGUAUUAGCUAGUUGGUGAGGUAAAGGCUCACCAAGGCGAUGAUACAUAGCCGACCUGAGAGGGUGAUCGGCCACAUUGGGACUGAGACACGGCCCAAACUCCUACGGGAGGCAGCAGUAGGGAAUCUUCGGCGAUGGACGAAAGUCUGACCGAGCAACGCCGCGUGAGUGAAGAAGGUUUUCGGAUCGUAAAACCCUGUUGGUAGAGAAGAACGUUGGUGAGAGUGGAAAGCUCAUCAAGUGACGGUAACUACCCAGAAAGGGACGGCUAACUACGUG
This 497-nucleotide ribosomal RNA is filed under the name uncultured bacterium. RNAcentral describes it as "partial 16S ribosomal RNA". It matches the Rfam family "Bacterial small subunit ribosomal RNA", at positions 28 to 507 of the family's 1533-position model. The record is from RNAcentral.